Molecule: ribosomal RNA, 510 nt
Filed under: Mantoida sp. MN109
Lineage: Eukaryota; Metazoa; Arthropoda; Insecta; Mantodea; Mantoididae
Description: partial 16S ribosomal RNA
Rfam family: Bacterial large subunit ribosomal RNA
Source: RNAcentral
GGUUUCUUGUAUAAAUAAGAGAUUUGACCUGCCCACUGAUUUUUGAAGGGCCGCAGUAUUUUGACUGUGCAAAGGUAGCAUAAUCAUUAGUCUUUUAAUUGAAGGCUGGAAUGAAUGGUUGGACAAGGUGAAUAUUGUAUCAAUUUAAUAAAGUAGAACUUAUAUUUUGAGUAAAAAGACUUAAAUGUGAUUGAGGGACGAGAAGACCCUAUAGAGUUUUAUAAUUAUUUUUUUGUUUAUGGUUAUAAAGAUUUAUAUUAUGUAAUUAAAUAAUUAUUUAAUUGGGGUGAUUGAGAAAUAUGUGGAACUUUUUUUAAUUGUAUAUGUAGAUAAAUAGAUUUAAUGAUCCAUUAUUUGUGAUUAUAAGAUUAAAUUACCUUAGGGAUAACAGCAUAAUUUUUUUUGAGAGUUCUUAUUGAGAGAAAAGAUUAUGACCUCGAUGUUGGAUUAAGAUAAAUAUUAGGUGUAGGUGUUUAAAUAUUAGGUCUGUUCGACCUUUAAAAUCUUACA